Molecule: ribosomal RNA, 61 nt
Filed under: Stanhopea sp. SRR-2011
Lineage: Eukaryota; Viridiplantae; Streptophyta; Magnoliopsida; Asparagales; Orchidaceae
Description: partial 26S ribosomal RNA
Source: RNAcentral
GCGACCCCAGGACGGGCGAGGCCACCCGCCGAGUUUAAGCAUAUCAAUAAGCGGAGGAGAG